GAUGAACGCUGGCGGCGUGCCUAAUACAUGCAAGUCGAGCGAACGGACGAGAAGCUUGCUUCUCUGAUGUUAGCGGCGGACGGGUGAGUAACACGUGGAUAACCUACCUAUAAGACUGGGAUAACUUCGGGAAACCGGAGCUAAUACCGGAUGAUAUUUUGAACCGCAUGGUUCAAAAGUGAAAGACGGUCUUGCUGUCACUUAUAGAUGGAUCCGCGCUGCAUUAGCUAGUUGGUAAGGUAACGGCUUACCAAGGCAACGAUGCAUAGCCGACCUGAGAGGGUGAUCGGCCACACUGGAACUGAGAAACGGUCCAGACUCCUACGGGAGGCAGCAGUAGGGAAUCUUCCGCAAUGGGCGAAAGCCUGACGGAGCAACGCCGCGUGAGUGAUGAAGGUCUUCGGAUCGUAAAACUCUGUUAUUAGGGAAGAACAUAUGUGUAAGUAACUGUGAACAUCUUGACGGUACCUAAUCAGAAAGCCACGGCUAACUACGUG
RNAcentral lists this ribosomal RNA (497 nucleotides) under uncultured bacterium. RNAcentral's name for it is "partial 16S ribosomal RNA". It matches the Rfam family "Bacterial small subunit ribosomal RNA", at positions 28 to 507 of the family's 1533-position model. The record is from RNAcentral.